GAUGAACGCUGGCGGCGUGCUUAACACAUGCAAGUCGAACGGAAAGGCCCAAGCUUGCUUGGGUACUCGAGUGGCGAACGGGUGAGUAACACGUGGGUGAUCUGCCCUGCACUUCGGGAUAAGCCUGGGAAACUGGGUCUAAUACCGGAUAGGACGAUGGUUUGGAUGCCAUUGUGGAAAGUUUUUUCGGUGUGGGAUGAGCUCGCGGCCUAUCAGCUUGUUGGUGGGGUAAUGGCCUACCAAGGCGUCGACGGGUAGCCGGCCUGAGAGGGUGUACGGCCACAUUGGGCCUGAGAUACGGCCCAGACUCCUACGGGAGGCAGCAAUGGGGAAUAUUGCACAAUGGGCGCAAGCCUGAUGCAGCGACGCCGCGUGGGGGAUGACGGCCUUCGGGUUGUAAACUCCUUUCGCUAGGGACGAAGCGUUUUUGUGACGGUACCUGGAGAAGAAGCACCGGCUAACUACGUG
RNAcentral lists this ribosomal RNA (468 nucleotides) under uncultured bacterium. Its description in RNAcentral is "partial 16S ribosomal RNA". It matches the Rfam family "Bacterial small subunit ribosomal RNA", at positions 28 to 507 of the family's 1533-position model. The record is from RNAcentral.